GGGGAAUAUUGCGCAAUGGGGGAAACCCUGACGCAGCAAUACCGCGUGAGUGAAGAAGGUUUUCGGAUCGUAAAGCUCUGUUAUUGGGGAAGAAAAAAAGACGGUACCCAAGAAGAAAGUCCCGGCUAACUACGUGCCAGCAGCCGCGGUAAUACGUAGGGGACAAGCGUUGUCCGGAUUUACUGGGCGUAAAGGGCACGCAGGCGGUCUUGCAAGUCAGAUGUGAAAUCCAACGGCUUAACCGUUGAACUGCAUUUGAAACUGCAAGGCUAGAGUAUGGGAGAGGUAGGUGGAAUUCUCGGUGUAGGGGUAAAAUCCGUAGAGAUCGAGAGGAAUACUCAUUGCGAAGGCGACCUGCUGGAACAUUACUGACGCUGAGGUGCGAAAGCGUGGGGAGCAAACA
This 403-nucleotide ribosomal RNA is filed under the name uncultured bacterium. Its description in RNAcentral is "bacterial SSU rRNA". It matches the Rfam family "Bacterial small subunit ribosomal RNA", at positions 356 to 774 of the family's 1533-position model. The record is from RNAcentral.